RNAcentral lists this unclassified non-coding RNA (254 nucleotides) under uncultured Acidimicrobiia bacterium. Its description in RNAcentral is "contains 16S-23S intergenic spacer region". It matches the Rfam family "Bacterial small subunit ribosomal RNA", at positions 524 to 776 of the family's 1533-position model. The record is from RNAcentral. Lineage: Bacteria; Bacillati; Actinomycetota; Acidimicrobiia.
CACGUAGGGGGCAAGCGUUGUCCGGAUUUAUUGGGCGUAAAGAGCUCGUAGGCGGCUCGGUAAGUCGGAUGUGAAAACUCCAGGCUCAACCUGGAGACGCCAUCCGAUACUGCCAUGGCUUGAGUCCGGUAGAGGAGUGUGGAAUUCCCGGUGUAGCGGUGAAAUGCGCAGAUAUCGGGAGGAACACCAGUGGCGAAGGCGGCACUCUGGGCCGGUACUGACGCUGAGGAGCGAAAGCGUGGGGAGCAAACAGG